RNAcentral lists this ribosomal RNA (403 nucleotides) under uncultured Enterococcus sp. RNAcentral describes it as "bacterial SSU rRNA". It matches the Rfam family "Bacterial small subunit ribosomal RNA", at positions 119 to 508 of the family's 1533-position model. The record is from RNAcentral. Lineage: Bacteria; Bacillati; Bacillota; Bacilli; Lactobacillales; Enterococcaceae.
GGGUAACCUGCCCAUCAGAAGGGGAUAACACUUGGAAACAGGUGCUAAUACCGUAUAACAAUCGAAACCGCAUGGUUUUGAUUUGAAAGGCGCUUUCGGGUGUCGCUGAUGGAUGGACCCGCGGUGCAUUAGCUAGUUGGUGAGGUAACGGCUCACCAAGGCCACGAUGCAUAGCCGACCUGAGAGGGUGAUCGGCCACAUUGGGACUGAGACACGGCCCAAACUCCUACGGGAGGCAGCAGUAGGGAAUCUUCGGCAAUGGACGAAAGUCUGACCGAGCAACGCCGCGUGAGUGAAGAAGGUUUUCGGAUCGUAAAACUCUGUUGUUAGAGAAGAACAAGGAUGAGAGUAACUGUUCAUCCCUUGACGGUAUCUAACCAGAAAACCACGGCUAACUACGUGC